CCCCCCUCCACCUCACUUCGUUGUCCUGCGCCUCCUCCACCACAUGAACCGUCAAGCCCCAGAGGGCGGCGCACCCGGAGGGCUGCUGCUGCCGCUCCGGGUAGGGCUGCCGCCGCCACGGCCCGGUGGCGGGGCACAGUCAACGUCAGGGCGAAACUCGGGAGAUCAGAUUCUUCAAGAUUGGGGCACGCUGUAACAGUAGGUCGAGCGGCGGCGGUGGAUAUCCGGAGGGUGGAGAUGGGAUCCACUGUUGGGAAGAGGAGGAAGCGGAAGGCCGCCUCCUGGAAGGUCCUCUUCCACCAUCCUCCGGUGCGGCAUCAUCAAGGCUGUCCUCGACAGGAAUGAGCUCGGCAAGGGUAGCUAUUCCUCGGACUGUCGUCGAGGCCCUCCAUGAGCAUAUGGCCGCACUCUGUUGGAAAUCCGCCUCAAGGUAUGUCCCGAAGAUCACCCGGACCAGAGUCGGAGCGGUCAUUCCAACAAGUUACUCAGUCCUCCUCUGUUAUUUCUCUGCCUGCUUGAUGUUUGUUUCUUUUUCCUAUACUGAUUUGUUGAUGUUACUUGGUCCGAGCGAUGUACCUCGGGGUCAAGUCGGCAAGAGCGCCAUCUGCAGGAGUGGUGUAUGUUGGGUAGACAUACCGCCGGGCUUGAGGGGCCGCCGAAGGUGGUUGACUUGGAGGGAGAAAGGAGCAAUGGUUUUGCGGCUUAAGUCGUGGCGAGCAGGGCAUGUAGGCGACGACCACGGGAGCCAUCCGCGUCGUGCUGCAAUGUACGUUGUAGCCCCCUAAACUCUAACUCAGUUAUAAUUUGUCAGAAGUGGAUGCAGUUCAGCAGGGGCUUGGAGUCCCACAAGCAGGGUCUCGGAACUGUCCAGAGAAGAUUGAGCAAUGAGGACAACCAAAAAGAUAUAGUAGGAGGCUAUUCAUAGAAGAGAACAAUAGACAGGUAAGAUCCAAUUGGAGGCAGUUACAAAAUUGCAAUCACAAUUUCAAGAGGAAGGUUAAGGUUUGUCUUAUUCACGUUCACAAUUCAUUGGUAAAUUUCAGUUGAAGAUUUUUCAUCUACAUCUCAGUCCGGCCUUAGUCACAUGAACAAAAUCAUUGUUAUUAGUUUUUUUUCUUACUAAACGCAGCUUGGAUCUGCUCAAACAGAUUGGUCAGUAUAUUAUAUAAAGGCACAAGUUGUUCUGAGUCUAAUUCUUCAUACCAAUACUGCAGAAAUAUCUGCUAAGAAAUAAUUCCUAGGAAGAGCUACGUAAAUAGCUAUGUGAGAAAACGAUGGGUAUUUAUCGCUCCCUAUCAAUCGACUAUACAUCAUAUAAAGAUUGCUAUGUUAAAUAACCUGAUUACAUGUCCUUACCGCAACGGAACAGGGAUGUAUUACUGCAAAUAUUAACUAACUUCUUCAUGAUUUAGAGUAUUCUAUAUAACUAAAAAUACUAUGAGUGCUUUACCACUACAAUAUCCUGCAAAUGAGCUCUUGAUUAUUCUGCCAAAGCUCUCAGGAGUCGAAAGCAUGUGUAUAGAUGGUUAAAUGUGUGGACUGCUAUGACACCAUGUAGCCAAAUCUGGUACAUCUCUUUGCAUCUAACAAAAACUCGGGACUUCCUAUUGGCUUGAGUGAAUACAUGCAUCCUAAACUGAAUACUUGCUUGACUGAGUUAACGCGUGCAUCUGCAGAUCUGAAUCAUGACUAGCAUGACUCACAAGCAGUUCCUCCAGAUUUAGACUUGAGGUAGCCAUUUUUUCUCGAUUCUUCAUCUAUUAGUUCCUUUUGUGAUACGGUCAUUCGUGUUUUUUUUUC
Molecule: non-coding RNA, 1800 nt
Organism: Lolium perenne
Lineage: Eukaryota; Viridiplantae; Streptophyta; Magnoliopsida; Poales; Poaceae
Source: RefSeq, a predicted model, not a curated record